This 497-nucleotide ribosomal RNA is filed under the name uncultured bacterium. Its description in RNAcentral is "partial 16S ribosomal RNA". It matches the Rfam family "Bacterial small subunit ribosomal RNA", at positions 28 to 507 of the family's 1533-position model. The record is from RNAcentral.
GAUGAACGCUGGCGGCGUGCUUAAGACAUGCAAGUCGAGCGGAAAGGCGAGGAUCUUGCUGCAGGGACGAGAGGCGCGCACGUGUGUGAAACACGUGUAUAACGUACCUAAAUUACUGGUAUAUCGAGGGGAAUGGGGAGCUAAUCCCAUAGAAUAUAUUGAUGCGCGGUGGGGGUUAGUGAGAGUCGGCGGUUCGGGAUGGUAUCGAGGCAUCUGCGCUGCAUUAGCUAGUUGUUAAGGUAACAGCUUAUCAAGGGAACGAUGCGUAGACGACCUAAGAGGGUGAUCGGCCACAUUGGAACUGAGACAGGGUCAAGACUACUACGGGAGGCAGCAGUAGGGAAUCUUCCGCAAUGGGCGAAAGCCUGACGGAGCAACGCCGCGUGAGUGAUGAAGGUCUUCGGAUCGUAAAACUCCGUUACUAGGGAAGAACAAAUGUGUAAGUAACUAUGCACGUCUUGACGGUACCUAAUCAGAAAGCCACGGCUAACUACGUG